RNAcentral lists this ribosomal RNA (256 nucleotides) under uncultured bacterium. Its description in RNAcentral is "partial 16S ribosomal RNA". It matches the Rfam family "Bacterial small subunit ribosomal RNA", at positions 524 to 777 of the family's 1533-position model. The record is from RNAcentral.
UACGUAGGGUGCAGGCGUUAAUCGGAAUUACUGGGCGUAAAGCGUGCGCAGGCGGUUUGCUAAGACAGGUGUGAAAUCCCUGGGCUCAACCUAGGAACUGCGUUUGAAACUACAAGGCUAGAGUGUAGCAGAGGGGGGGUAGAAUUCCACGUGUAGCAGUGAAAUGCGUAGAGAUGUGGAGGAAUACCAAUGGCGAAGGCAGCCCCCCUGGGUUAACACUGACGCUCAUGCACGAAAGACGUGGGGACAAACGAGG